This 88-nucleotide non-coding RNA is filed under the name Schistosoma japonicum. Lineage: Eukaryota; Metazoa; Platyhelminthes; Trematoda; Strigeidida; Schistosomatidae. The record is from RNAcentral.
UCCGAUGAAAUCUCGGCCCGUAUACAUAAGACUCGAUCGGCUUUUGCCAAUCUGCGUCACUUGUGGCGUAGGCGAGACAUUCGUUUAA